GACUGAAUAUGUUCUUGAUAGGACAUAGACACCUGCACACACUAGUUCAUUCGUCCAUUGGACCGAUCACAUGGUCGGACCAUGCCCCAAUAUUCCUUACGCUGUCCCUUGAAGAGAAGAGUGCCAUUAGCAACUCAUAGCGCUUAAAUUAAUCACUACUUGAUGACCCCAGGGUAAUGGAGGAUUUGAAUAGCGCUCUACCCAGG
Molecule: non-coding RNA, 206 nt
Organism: Pelobates cultripes (western spadefoot toad)
Lineage: Eukaryota; Metazoa; Chordata; Amphibia; Anura; Pelobatidae
Source: the annotation of a GenBank genome assembly